Molecule: long non-coding RNA, 270 nt
Filed under: Sorghum bicolor (sorghum)
Lineage: Eukaryota; Viridiplantae; Streptophyta; Magnoliopsida; Poales; Poaceae
Description: long non-coding RNA (SBIC_LNC011117)
Source: RNAcentral
GCGAAAAUCGUGAUGAGGCCACAACAUUCAACGUGAUUGGUUGUAGCAUCUCCACCUAUUAGAAGCCUGUAGUAGUUAUGUUGCUGGCCCAUAUAGCCCAUAUAGCACAUGAAUUGUAGUAAUUUAUGGGGUUUAGUACCAUCUUGGAAGUUUGAGGGUGAGAGUUAGCUUAUAAUCCAUGUCGUUUUAAACGUAGCGCCUCUGGAUUAACCCUUUUGCACAAAGUGAGGACGAAAGUCUAAGAGAGGUGCUACGCAUAUGCGGGCCCAU